This 276-nucleotide small RNA is filed under the name Marmota monax (woodchuck). The record is from RNAcentral. Lineage: Eukaryota; Metazoa; Chordata; Mammalia; Rodentia; Sciuridae.
UAGUCUAUCUGUUAGUUGAGGAAAUCAAGUUGGUCAUUUAGAUCCUAGGCUCAGCCCUUGGAACACACCCAUCUUUGUAAUUAAGAGAAAAUCUGGUAAUUGGAGAUUAUUACAAGACCUUAGAUCUAUUAAUUGAACCAUAGAGUCCAUGGGAGGUUACAAUCUGGGCUACUUUAUCCUUCAGCUAUUCCUUUAGAUUGUUAUUUGAUAGUAGAUCUAAAAGAUUGUUUCUUCUCUAUACUUUGCACCCAGAUGACUGUAAAAGUUUGCCUUUAG